UGGGGAAUAUUGAGCAAUGGGCGAAAGCCUGACGCAGCGACGCCGCGUGAGGGAUGAAGGUUUUCGGAUCGUAAACCUCUGUCAGAAGGGAAGAAACCGCACUGUGCUAAUCAGCAGUGCCUUGACGGUACCUUCAAAGGAAGCACCGGCUAACUCCGUGCCAGCAGCCGCGGUAAUACGGAGGGUGCAAGCGUUAAUCGGAAUUACUGGGCGUAAAGCGCACGUAGGCUGCUUUGUAAGUCAGGGGUGAAAUCCCACGGCUCAACCGUGGAACUGCCUUUGAUACUGCUUAGCUUGAAUCCGGGAGAGGGUGGCGGAAUUCCAGGUGUAGGAGUGAAAUCCGUAGAUAUCUGGAGGAACAUCAGUGGCGAAGGCGGCCACCUGGACCGGUAUUGACGCUGAGGUGCGAAAGCGUGGGGAGCAAACAGG
This 429-nucleotide ribosomal RNA is filed under the name Fusobacteriota bacterium. RNAcentral describes it as "Fusobacteria bacterium partial 16S ribosomal RNA". It matches the Rfam family "Bacterial small subunit ribosomal RNA", at positions 355 to 776 of the family's 1533-position model. Lineage: Bacteria; Fusobacteriati; Fusobacteriota. The record is from RNAcentral.